UACGUAGGGGGGCUAGCGUUGUCCGGAUUUAUUGGGCGUAAAGAGCGUGUAGGCGGCCAGGUAGGUCUGGUGUGAAAACUCGAGGCUUAACCUCGAGAUGUCAUCGGAAACCAUCUGGCUAGAGUCCGGAAGAGGAGAGUGGAAUUCCUGGUGUAGCGGUGAAAUGCGCAGAUAUCAGGAAGAACACCUAUGGCGAAGGCAGCUCUCUGGGACGGUACUGACGCUGAGACGCGAAAGCGUGGGGAGCGAACAGG
This 254-nucleotide ribosomal RNA is filed under the name uncultured bacterium. RNAcentral's name for it is "partial 16S ribosomal RNA". It matches the Rfam family "Bacterial small subunit ribosomal RNA", at positions 524 to 776 of the family's 1533-position model. The record is from RNAcentral.